AAGAUAUUCAGCAUAGUGCACGCCUAUGCUGGCAUAAUGGAAAAAUAAUCAAAGCAAUAAAAAUUCAGAUUAAAAAAAAUGUUUACACAGCCAAUAGUGAAAAUAAUAUUUUUAAGCCUGAAUGCUAACUCAACAAGAAGGCUUCUACUCAAUCACCUGAUGCUCCUAAGGAAAUUUAGGUCUCAUCAUACUAUAGUGAUAUAUACCAUAUAUAUACCAUAUAAAAAUAGAAAAUAGGGCUGUAAAUAGACCUUUGGAGGUCAAGUUGUCCGCUGCUUUGCCUGAAGGCAGGAUCAAUGAUUCCUCACAGAUGUUUGUCUAAACCAGUCUCCAUGAAAUGAGUACUAGCAACUUUUUUUAUCUCAUCAGUUCUUAACUCUAGCAAUUGCCUGGAAGUCAAUAAGAUGACUACUCGUGUCUAGCCCAAGCUCCUUUCAUCACUAUGUGUUUUCUCAUGUGUUUCCUUAAUAUGAAUGUGACAUUUGCCUCCUUCCAGCAGUGGCAUUUAAGCUUAGGAACUAUGACUCCUCACUUUACUAAUCAGUAAAUAAAAAUCUUAUUGUAGGUGCUAAGGAAUGCAUAAACACUCUAGCUAUAGGAGAAAAGGACAUUCAGAUGUAGGGAAGGUUAUGAUCUUAUGUCAGUGUGCUCCAAAACCACCUGAGUACCUGAGGCAAACAAUUGAAUAUUUGGUCAAACUACUGCCAUAUUCUUCCUUCAAGUCACUAUGCUAUGAAGAGGCAUGCACCGUGCAUAGAACAGAGCCAUCUGUACCCUUUCAGAUGCAAGAUCAGCUGUGGGCACAAUUUAGAAAUGGCAUUGGAGUGGUAGGAGUUGAGAAAGGUUGUACUCCUUUGUCCUGUAAUCUAUGAUGUGACAUAUGGAAUGCCAAGAAUAGACUGUCUGCAGUCCACUUUGUAAAUCUGGUUCAUAGGCACAAAUUUUCUCUGAGUUGGGAAGGAAUCUUGGAAAGGAUCACUUCUACAGUUCCAUCAUUGAAUUCAUCAUCAUUGUCCCAGAGAAGCAGCGAUCAGUGAGAUGUGGCUCAUGGGCUAGGCAUUGGCAAGUUUGCUUUUGGUAGAAGAUCGACUAGUGUGUGUGUGUGUUACGGUUACACUUUGUAAAUAAUUACAGAUAUGAUAAGUUUUAUAUAGAUUAUAAAAAUGAUCUAUUGUAUUCACAUUUUAUGAAGAAUAAAAAAGAUGUAUGAAGAUUUUUUUUUUUAUGC
This 1228-nucleotide long non-coding RNA is filed under the name Anas platyrhynchos platyrhynchos (common mallard). Its description in RNAcentral is "lncRNA (ENSAPLG00000023049.1)". Lineage: Eukaryota; Metazoa; Chordata; Aves; Anseriformes; Anatidae. The record is from RNAcentral.